Molecule: ribosomal RNA, 480 nt
Filed under: Neisseria flavescens
Lineage: Bacteria; Pseudomonadati; Pseudomonadota; Betaproteobacteria; Neisseriales; Neisseriaceae
Description: bacterial SSU rRNA
Rfam family: Bacterial small subunit ribosomal RNA
Source: RNAcentral
AUUGAACGCUGGCGGCAUGCUUUACACACGCAAGUCGGACGGCAGCACAGAGAAGCUUGCUUCUUGGGUGGCGAGUGGCGAACGGGUGAGUAAUAUAUCGGAACGUACCGAGUAAUGGGGGAUAACUAAUCGAAAGAUUAGCUAAUACCGCAUAUUCUCUGAGGAGGAAAGCAGGGGACCUUCGGGCCUUGCGUUAUUCGAGCGGCCGAUAUCUGAUUAGCUAGUUGGUGGGGUAAAGGCCUACCAAGGCGACGAUCAGUAGCGGGUCUGAGAGGAUGAUCCGCCACACUGGGACUGAGACACGGCCCAGACUCCUACGGGAGGCAGCAGUGGGGAAUUUUGGACAAUGGGCGCAAGCCUGAUCCAGCCAUGCCGCGUGUCUGAAGAAGGCCUUCGGGUUGUAAAGGACUUUUGUCAGGGAAGAAAAGGCUGUUGCUAAUAUCGACAGCUGAUGACGGUACCUGAAGAAUAAGCACGGCU